UUUUGAUUAGCUGGACGUCAUUGAUUUACUUCCGUGUUUGUUGACACAACGUGAAAUUAUAUUUUCCAGCAAUGUUUUUGGAAGUGACAAAAUGAACUAAUUACUUUGAUGAUAUUGUAGAAUAUUGUUGAAUUGUGACAACUGCAACUUGUUUGAUCAUGAUGAAUAGCCUCCGGUUCCGUCCAGAUACAAACAUCCGUGACCUCAAUGCAAAGGUCAUGAUACAUCUGCGUAACUCCCUCGACACAGCGCCAGAAACACAGAACUGGAGAGCUUUAGCGAGCAUCUUGGAACAUCCAUUUGGUUUUAAGUCUUUCGAGAUCGAGAAGAUGGCCAUGCAGAUUUAUAGCAGUGGAAGUCCGACGGAGCAGCUCAUUCUGGAGCUGGGGGCGCGUGGGAUGGUCGUCCAGGAACUCGUCCGAUAUCUCGAUACGCUGCGGCUUGAGGCCAUUUUAGUGGACUUCAAGAAUUAUGAGCCUAUACAAAUUACCUCGGAGCCGGAGUUAGAGGUGAAACUAUUCGAAGGAGACCCGUUGCGUCUGAUUGUCGAGGCAACUGGCUUCCCAUACCCACGGUUCCAGUGGUUCUUUGAAAACUCUGAGCUCACUGGGGCUAUAGAAAACACACUGAACAUACCAAAUAUUCGUGCAUCUCAGACGGGACACUACUGCUGUCGCUUGCACAACUGUGCUGACCCAACCCAGACCAAGUUUACUCGGCAUUCCCUCGUUAAGGUGUAUCCAGACAUGUGUACCCAUGCUGCUUAUAGUGGGGCUGAUGGGAAAACAUCACAACCUCGUUUGCAAAAAGUUCCAUCAGAUGAAAGGAAUGAUGUGGAAUAUGAUGAAGAGCUUGACAAGACUUGUAACCUGCCUGUUAUAGUGGAGCAGCCCCAGGAUGUGUUCACCAUCAAGGGGAGCCCAUUCCACAUUGUGUGCAAAGCCAGGAGUCGUUUCCCCUUGCGCUACACCUGGUAUCAUGAAGGCCAGUAUUUCCAUGAGACGCAAAUUCCACUGCUGGAGGUGGACAGCGCAUUGAGCAGUCACAGUGGGCGAUAUCAGUGUAUUGUGAGAAACGAUUUCGGGGAGGCACGCAGUCACCCGUUCAUGGUGACCGUUUCAGACUAUGAUACCCCAAGAGUAAUUAAAGCACCGGAAAUCAUCAGUCAGCCUAAAUCGUGCUCAGUUCAAGUGGGAGGGGUGGCGGUAUUUGUGGUGGAGGCGUGUGGAACCCAGCCCAUAACAUAUCAGUGGUUUAAAGAUUCAACACUCAUAUUUGGUCAGGAGUCGUCUGAAUUGCGGAUCUCCAACAUCCAGUCGCAGGUCUCGAACCUCCAGCCACAAGAGGUGCAGGUGGGCGUGUAUCAGUGUCUGUUGAAGAACGAGUAUGGAGCCAAGUUCUCGGAAGGAGCCGUUCUCGCCAUCGGCAGCGAGCUCCACACACUACAGGAAUAUCAUGCAAAAGACAAGUUUGCCCUACUCAUUGGUAAUUACUCGUACAAGGCUGAGAAUUCGCUAAACGCCCCGAAAGAAGAUAUCAAAACUCUGGCCGAGAUUUUCCGCAACCUGCAGUUCAAGGUGGUCUCCCUGUUGAACUUGACGAAGAACGAGAUGGUUGCCGCGGUCGAGGAGUUUUGUCGGUUGCUGGACGAUGGAGUCUACUGCGUGUUUUAUUUCUGCGGUCACGGCUUUGAAGAAACCCGCCAGUGUUACCUCGUGCCGGAAGACGCUCCCACCGGGUUCACCUGGGAGGACUGUGUGUGUGCCGAUCAGGUGCUGGAACGGAUGCAGAACAGAAACCCGGCCAUCUGCUGUAUGAUCCUCGAUAUCUGUCGCAGGCAAAACCAUGUAUCAUCUAGUUCCAUACCAAAGAUCAUUGAGCCACGCACCACGACCGCAGGCAACACCAUUAUCUGUUUUGCCACAAGUGCCGGGUGUGCUGCUUUCGAGCAGCCUCAGUGUGGAAUUCUGGUCUAUUUCCUGCAGCGCCAUCUGUCGAAGCCGAUCGGUAUUGAGGAAGUGUUUGCUUUAGUUCGGUCAGACAUGACCAAGAAUGACCGCUACAAGGGUAAACAGAUUCCUGAGGUACGGACCAACCUGACACAGCCGCUUCGCUCGCUGGCAGACAGGAUCAAGUACCAGGGGGGAGGAACGCAGGCGUUUCUACGACGACAGUUUCUGUGGGAAGCAGCACACCGUCGACCUCCGACCCGCACCAUCGAGGUGAAACCCCAUGAGCUGGGUAUCGAGCUGGAGCUGGACUUCCAGUCGGAGUUCUCUAACGUCUUGCACAUCUUCGUCACCGUCAAGAAGAAAGACAAACUGUCCGAGUGCAGCGCCUGGGUCGCCAAGAUACCAAAUACGUUGUCGAUCAUGGACCAACCCUGUUUCGUCUCCAGUCCAGACUGCCCGUUCAAGAAGACGAAGAACAUUAUCCAGGACAUUCAGAAGUUGAAGGACAGCAUGGUGGUGACGAUCGCCGUGCGGUACAGACGGACAGACAGCCGACAGGAGGAGAUAAUCGACUGCGAGACGGUCGAUCUUGGAUUUCCUCUCAUUGCCGAACUCAAGUUGUGGCAGCCGCGCACACUGUCCGCGUCAGGGCACCCCGUCGAGCAGAUGGAAGACUUAUCGUUGUGAUCAUCUAGCAUUUAUCAUCAGUAUCGGGGACAUAACAUAGUCGUGAAUUUAUCAUCAGUAUUGGGGACAUACAUGUAACACAGUCGUGAGUUUAUCAUCAGUAUCAGGGACGUAACAUAGUCAGAAAUUUAUCAUCAGUAUCGGGAAACAUAACAUAGUCAAGAAUUUAUCAUCAGUAUCGGGGACAUAACACAGUCAUGAAUUUAUUAUCAGUAUCGGGAAACAUAACACAGUUGUGAAUUUAUCAUCAGUAUCGGGGACAUAACACAGUAAUGAAUUUAUCAUCAGUAUUUGGGACAUAACAUAGUCGUGAAUUUAUCAUCAGUAUCGGGGAAACAAUGGAUGGAAGACUUGUUGUGAUCAGGUCUCACUACACAGAUCACUUCCGGGUGAGAGUUCAUUGAUCCUAAUUGUGUCACAUGUUAGCUUCUUUGU
Molecule: unclassified non-coding RNA, 3074 nt
Filed under: Gigantopelta aegis
Lineage: Eukaryota; Metazoa; Mollusca; Gastropoda; Neomphalida; Peltospiridae
Description: mucosa-associated lymphoid tissue lymphoma translocation protein 1 homolog, transcript variant X2
Source: RNAcentral